GUUAGAGUUAGCGUUGUCACUGGGUUUAUCAUUUGAGUUAGCAUUAUCACUAGGUUUAUAGUCAGAGUUAGCGUUGUCACUUGGCUUAUGGUUAGAGUUAGCAUUGUCACUCGGUUUACGGUCAGAGUUAGCAUUGUCACCAGGUUUAUGGUAAGAGUUAACGUUGUCACUGGGUUUAUCAUCAGAGUUAGCAUUGCCACUAGGUUUAUGUUUAGAGUUAGCGUUGUCAUUCGGUUUAUGGUUAGAGUUAGCAUUGUCACUAGGUUUAUGGUCAGAGUUAUCAAUUGCCCUAGGGUUUAUGGUUACAGUUAGCGUUGUCACUAGAUUUAUGGUUAGAGCUAAUGUUGUCACUAGAUUUAUGGUCAGAGUUAGCGUUGUCACUAAGUUUUUGGUUAAAGUUAGCAUUCUCACUAGAUUUAUGGUCAGUUAGCAUUGUCACUAGGUUUAUAGAGUUAGCAUUGUCACUAGGUUUAUGGUAAGAGUUAGCAUUGUUAUUAGGUUAAUGUAUAGAGCUAGUGUUUUCACUAGGUUUACGGUGAGAGCUAAUGUUGUCACUAGGUUUAUGGUUAGAGCUAGCGUUGUCACUAGGUUUAUGGUGAGAGCUAGUGUUUUUACUAGGUUUAUGGUUAGAUGUUUAAUAAAUUGUUGUCUUCCAAAAGUCAAUCUCGAAUAGCAAAACAAGUUUGUCUGUGAGGCCCAUUCAAAACUCAAUUUUUGUACAGCAGCUUCACCACAGAUGUUUCCUUGGCAACCCUACUAGGUCAUCCAAUGGGAAGAGGGGGCUGGGUAAGGAGGGAAUUGGGGGGGGCUGAUAGGAGUCAGAGAGGUGCAGUGACACAGUCUAUCUAUGUCUCAGAUUUACCUCAAGUUACUCUCCCUCCCUUUUUCUCUCCCUCCCUCCCUCCCUC
This is a long non-coding RNA of Esox lucius (northern pike), 908 nucleotides long. The record is from Ensembl. Lineage: Eukaryota; Metazoa; Chordata; Actinopteri; Esociformes; Esocidae.